AAAAGAGAGUAAAUCCGCGGGAGAAUAGAUUUCCUCUUUUGAUGCGCCGGAGUCAGUCCGAUUCUGACGAGUGCGACGAACUCGAGACAAAGGAUGCAGGCUUAUCGCGUUGUGGCGGUGAUUUUUGUCUUUUCGAUUUUCGGAGCUAAGGGCAACGAUAUCGAAUUUCCCACCGAAGAGAAUUUUCAACCGAACGACGUUACCGAACGACCUGUUGUCAAGUAUGGUAUGGUGACUUGUGAACAAUAUAUUUUGCUUUAAUCGAAUUUUACAGUAUUUUAUUCGAACAAAGUAAUCAUAAUCUUCAUAAUUCCUCAGAUCACGUAACAAAAGCAACGCACAUUCACUUUUCGAACGAGAGCGUCGCGUCGGAGCUGCAGCACACAAUCUGCAGUGUAAAGACGGAGGAAUUCGUCGCCAAAGCCGAAUCGACGGCAUCGAGAAUUUUGCACGGAGUCUGCACAACAGAAGAAAUGAUGAAGACGUUCAAGAACAUGGAAAAAUCAUUUAUGGAGCGGCUUGAAAAGUUGCAGCAGAAUUUGACGGAUUUCAUACAAUCGAAAUUUCAACCUUUCAGUCAGAGGAAGGAAUACGUCAGGACGCCCAAGGCGAAUCCCUUUAAGACAGUAUCUUAUUUUUCAAAUUUUACAUGAAUAUUACAGUCCUUUUUUUUACAUUAUUAUUAUUUUUUUUUUUAUAACGUUCUGGAAAUGAAGCACGAUCUUCCAGGAGUAUAAGUGUAAUUUUAUUUAUAAAAUAUAUAUGUAACAAAUGGACAUAAUAAAUGUUUCGAAAUCAAGAGUAGAAUUUCAUUGUACAAAAAAUCAGAUAAUUUAUGAGGCUCUUAAAAAAUUUUUCGAUGACGAAUGAGUCAAAGGAUAAUUUUUCAUGAAUCAAAUGCGUAAACACCAAUUAUACUUUCACUUCGAUAAACAUCAUAAUUUGUUCGUUAUUAUUUUCUAUAGGUCGCAUCUUCAACAUGUCAUAUAUAGAACAGAUAAUUUCUUUUUUAAAUUUAAUGUACAUACUAUAUACUACAUUGAUUUAUAUAUCAUCUUAUUAAACGUUAACCAAUUUUGUAACUUCAAGUCAAUAAUUUUUCCAUACAUGUUACAUAAUAAUUGAUUUAAAAAAAUGGAUAAGUAUCGAAUACAGCAUAAUUUAAUAUAUGGAACAAUAAACAGUUGCGGAAACCUGUACAUCGAUUCUCGUAAUUAUACACGAAUGGAUAUAUCGAAGGCCUCUGUUUAUAUAAUAUACAUAUUCAUUAAAGAAUAUAGAUAAUACGUAAUAUCUGCGUCGCUUGAACAGCAAUAUGUCUGUAUAGUUGUACAGUAGUACUUGAUUUUUUUUUAUAACUAAUUUUGAUCGGUGUUAUGCUCGAGUAUUUUAUUUAGCCGCCAUUGACAAAUCGGAACCAAAAUAAGAAACAAAUUUAUAGCGAGUCAGUUUUUUCAUUAUUCUAUCAACCAUUUGAUGUCCAAAACAUAUAUGCAUAUCAACGAAUUUGAGUCUGUGAAUUCAUCAGAGGUUUAACGUGAUUCGUGAUUAUAGUCCUAUUAUAAAUAAAAAAUUAUUGCUUUUUCAUUUAUAUCCUUAUCCAUCAAACAAACAUAUUCAAUUAAUAAAUAAAACUCUGAUAAUAUUGUUCGUAAAACUUGGUCACCAAAGGUUCGUGCAAUCAAUUUGAGUAUCGCAACCAAAACCGUCAUACAAACGAUUGUACAUUCCAUAAGCACACUCGAAGUAUAGCAUCCUCGAGCAGCCGAUAUCAUCAUAAAACACAUAAAUAAAUAUAUCGGUGAAUACAACAACGAUCCGACAUUUCGUCGCAUCGUCGAUAUAUACCAGGACUCGCAAUCCUCUCCUCCCACGCGCUCAAGAAAAUGAAAAAAAAAAA
Long non-coding RNA from Nasonia vitripennis (jewel wasp), 1900 nucleotides. RefSeq lists it as uncharacterized. The record is from RefSeq and is a predicted model, not a curated record. NCBI's taxonomy places the organism in Eukaryota, Metazoa, Arthropoda, Insecta, Hymenoptera, Pteromalidae. The transcript has 2 exons.